AUCAUUUACGUGGCAACAGAGGAACAAAGAAAACCAGCAAAGGAUAUCAAACUAGCUAAAGUUCAACAACAGGAAGAAGCCACAUUACCACCAGAGGGGAGACGAUGUGGGGCACGCAGCUCCCUGGGACCUUGACUCAUCCUAGCAGAAGUGGGGAACGAAGCUGGUGAAAGGAGGCUGUCUGGUCAGGCAAGAUACUACUGCUGGCUGCUGUGGAGAGAUACCCCCAACUACCAGGAGCAAGAAGCAAACAAUAUAUAAGCCGAGAGCACAGAGAAGCAGCUAUCACACUCCUAAGCACCUACUCUUUGCCUUAUAAAUAUUUCACAGGAGAGAUGGAGCCCUGAUUACUUAAAAGAAGUAACCUUUUCUUCCAAGCUGCUCUGCUGCUCUUUUCAACAUUUUUUCCCGUCCUUCUUCCUAGCUGUAUUGGCCGCAGUAUGCAGUGGUUGCCGUAAUCUAAUAAAUUCCUCUUUUAAAGAUGUUUUUCUGUGCGCACUCAGGGCAUUUCCAAUUCCACCACUGUACGUGGUGCUUCUAAAAUAUUUCCCAAAGGGACCCCGUGUUGCCUUUCCCUCCGAAACAUCUUAAAUCUCUUGGAAACAGCAACAUGUUGGGUUUUCAGCCAACUGUAUGAGUUCCUGGAAGGCUGCAGGCAUACAGAACAGGAUCUUGCCCCUUGUUGUUUUAUUCUACCCUCAGGGCAUGGACUGAGGGGGUGGGGGUGGGGUAGUUCAUUUUUUCGAUGAACCAAUCAAGGCCUCACUCACACACACACACACACACACACACACACACACACACACACACACACACACACACCGUCCAGUUACUGGGUGGAACACAUCCAGAUGUUUUCUUCAAAUGACGGCUUAUGUUAGAAGCGCAGGCAAAGUGCCACAGGUGUCUCAUUAAGGGUGACAUGUAACAUCACAGCCUGGCUCUGUGAUGUAGUAGCCACAUCUGCUGGCUCAGGACCUGAGGACAGGCUUUGGGUUACGUGCUUCUGAAAAGUAAUUCUGAGCAAGAGACCAGCUCCAGGCAGAGCAGUCUGAGUCCCAGACUGAGGAGAGAAAGCAAAUUUCCCAGAUGGAUGUAGCUUCCUGAUAGCCAAAGCGGAAGCCCAAGACAGCAGCUCCUAGGAGGUCAGGCUAGCAGAGACACUUCAGGCUACUCCAGGUCCUCAGGGCGUCUGCCUACACAGAGCGCCGCACAGCAGACACUUAAAAUAUUGUGUCAAACGCUCAGCCGCCACCCAAUUAGACAAGAUGGAUGAAGCAAAGAAGUGCAGGCCGACAGGAACCGGAUGUAGAUCGCUCCUGAGAGACACAGCCAGAAUACAGCAAACACAGAGGCGAAUGCCAGCAGCAAACCACUGAACUGAGAACGGGACCCCCAUUGAAGGAAUCUUAGAAAGGACUGAAAGAGCUUGAAGGGGCUUGAGACCCCAUAUGAACAACAAUGACAAUCAACCAGAGCUCCCAGGGACUAAGCCACUACCCAAAGACUAUACAUGGACUGUCCCUGGGCUCCAACCUCAUAGGUAGCAAUGCAUAGCCUAGUAAGAGCACCAGUGGAAGGGGAAGUCCUUGGUCCUGCCAAGACUGAACCCCCAGUG
This is a non-coding RNA of Rattus norvegicus (Norway rat), 1618 nucleotides long. NCBI's taxonomy places the organism in Eukaryota, Metazoa, Chordata, Mammalia, Rodentia, Muridae. The record is from RefSeq and is a predicted model, not a curated record.